Cucurbita maxima (winter squash) is the source of this 390-nucleotide long non-coding RNA. RefSeq lists it as uncharacterized. The transcript has 2 exons. NCBI's taxonomy places the organism in Eukaryota, Viridiplantae, Streptophyta, Magnoliopsida, Cucurbitales, Cucurbitaceae. The record is from RefSeq and is a predicted model, not a curated record.
CUUCAAUCGUGUUAAACCGUAAUUCUUUCUCGCACCGUCGUCCUCUUCUAUCACCUUCUUUGCGUCUCUCCAUUUUCUGCCCUAAUUUUGAAAUUGCUGGAGAUAUGGUUAAGGCUUUGCACGUUGAUGUGAUGCAUGAUGGGAGACUUGAGACGAGAGCGUGGGCGUUGAAAUCAAAUUGCUGGCUUCCAAAUCAAGGGCUGCCAUGUUUUGUCUCUAGACUCUUUUGUGGAUAGAUUUGAGACGAUUUAGAGUUUCAAGCUUGUAGACCUAAGAUCAAGUUGUGUUGUAAAUGUUUGAAAUUUCAAUUCUAAUGAACAUAAAUUGAUUGAUUGAAAUUUCAGUUUGAGACCAUGAACUGAUUGAUCGAAGAAUUUGAACUUUUAAAUA